CUUANCUGGGCUUGACAUCUAUUUGCAACACUCUGAAAGGGGUGCCUCCUUCGGGACAGAUAGACAGAUGCUGCAUGGCUGUCGUCAGCUCGUGUCGUGAGAUGUUGGGUUAAGUCCCGCAACGAGCGCAACCCUUGUCCUUAGUUGCAUAUCUAAGGAGACUGCCGGUACAAAACCGGAGGAAGGUGGGGAUGACGUCAAGUCAGCAUGGCUCUUACGUCCAGGGCUACACACACGCUACAAUGGACAGUACAAUGAGAAGCCACCUCGCGAGAGGGAGCGGACCUCGUAAAGCUGUCCUCAGUUCAAAUUGCACUCUGCAACUCGAGUGCAUGAAGGUGGAGUUGCUA
This 350-nucleotide ribosomal RNA is filed under the name uncultured bacterium. RNAcentral describes it as "bacterial SSU rRNA". It matches the Rfam family "Bacterial small subunit ribosomal RNA", at positions 970 to 1337 of the family's 1533-position model. The record is from RNAcentral.